GUGAAUCAUCGAAUUUUUGAACGCAAAUUGCACUCUCUUCGGAGAGUAUGCCUGUUUGAGGGUCAGCCUAAAAAAAAAUCGACAUAGUCGCUGUUUCGCGGUGAUAUUCGUCGGAAAUUGGGUCAUCUUAAACCUUUGGGUUUUAAGCGGCUUAAAAUUUUCUUUACGAUUCUACGAUCGUUUGUACGAUUUACUUCUUAUAAGUUUAAGGUAUCGAUCUUUAUUAGACGUGGCCGUUGCAUCGUAUGUGGUAUAUAAAUAUAUCGUU
This 268-nucleotide unclassified non-coding RNA is filed under the name Glomus sp. Its description in RNAcentral is "partial contains 5.8S ribosomal RNA and internal transcribed spacer 2". The stretch from base 1 to 65 matches the Rfam family "5.8S ribosomal RNA", at positions 84 to 154 of the family's 154-position model. Lineage: Eukaryota; Fungi; Glomeromycota; Glomeromycetes; Glomerales; Glomeraceae. The record is from RNAcentral.